ACAGGGGAUGUUAUGAUCACGAAUGAAGCCCAAGGAGGAGUAUUAGUGCUAUGGAGCAUAAACCUUUGCAAAUGCCAGUGGAUGGGCGAGAUUGGAGCACUGACCUUCAGAGAUGCUUCCCUGAAGAAGCUCCAGGGAUGGGUGUUGAGAAGCCUAAUGUUCUGAAGACAUGCCAGAAGCUGAGCUGUAGGCCCUCUCCUACAGUUUAAGGAUUCCAGACCAUUAUCACAACUAGGAAGCAGAGCAUUUAUCAUGCCUCUGCUAACAGAAGUCUUGUGCCUGAGGGAGCGUGAGGAGAAUUUGUGUUUGCAGCUCUGUGGGAUUUGUCCCUCACUCAUAUCUGAAAAUUUGUACCUUGAGGAGAAGAAGAGAAUGAGCAUCCAAGUUUCUAAGACGAAACAGUCU
Long non-coding RNA from Peromyscus californicus insignis, 405 nucleotides. RefSeq lists it as uncharacterized. The transcript has 3 exons. NCBI's taxonomy places the organism in Eukaryota, Metazoa, Chordata, Mammalia, Rodentia, Cricetidae. The record is from RefSeq and is a predicted model, not a curated record.